UUCCCUGAGACCUCAAGUGUGAGUGUACUAUUGAUGCUUCACACCUGGGCUCUCCGGGUAC
Molecule: microRNA precursor, 61 nt
Filed under: Caenorhabditis elegans
Lineage: Eukaryota; Metazoa; Nematoda; Chromadorea; Rhabditida; Rhabditidae
Description: lin-4L
Rfam family: lin-4 microRNA precursor family
About the family: The extents of the hairpin precursors are not generally known and are estimated based on hairpin prediction. The products are thought to have regulatory roles through complementarity to mRNA.
Source: RNAcentral